UGGGGACUAUUGCACAAUGGGCGCAAGCCUGAUGCAGCCAUGCCGCGUGUAUGAAGAAGGCCUUCGGGUUGUAAAGUACUUUCAGCGGGGAGGAAGGUGUUGUGGUUAAUAACCACAGCAAUUGACGUUAACCGCAGAAGAAGCACCGGCUAACUCCGUGCCAGCAGCCGCGGUAAUACGGAGGGUGCAAGCGUUAAUCGGAAUUACUGGGCGUAAAGCGCACGCAGGCGGUCUGUCAAGUCGGAUGUGAAAUCCCCGGGCUCAACCUGGGAACUGCAUCCGAAACUGGCAGGCUUGAGUCUUGUAGAGGGGGGUAGAAUUCCAGGUGUAGCGGUGAAAUGCGUAGAGAUCUGGAGGAAUACCGGUGGCGAAGGCGGCCCCCUGGACAAAGACUGACGCUCAGGUGCGAAAGCGUGGGGAGCAAACA
RNAcentral lists this ribosomal RNA (427 nucleotides) under uncultured bacterium. Its description in RNAcentral is "partial 16S ribosomal RNA". It matches the Rfam family "Bacterial small subunit ribosomal RNA", at positions 355 to 774 of the family's 1533-position model. The record is from RNAcentral.